GGUGGAGUGAUUUGUCUGGUUUAUUCCGAUAACGAGCGAGACUCUAACCUGCUAAAUAGUGACGGGACAACUUUGUCCUAGUUACUUCUUAGAGGGAUUAGUGGUGUUUAGCCACACUAGAUUGAGCGAUAACAGGUCUGUGAUGCCCUUAGAUGUCCGGGGCUGCACGCGUGCUACACUGGAAGAAUCAGCGUGUUUUUCCAUUGCCGAAAGGUAUUGGUAAACCGUUGAAACUCUUCCGUGGCCGGGAUAGGGAAUUGAAAUUAUUUCCCUUAAACGAGGAAUUCCUAGCAAGUGUGAGUCAUUAGCUCACGUUGAUUACGUCCCUGCCCUUUGUAC
RNAcentral lists this ribosomal RNA (339 nucleotides) under Nematoda environmental sample. RNAcentral's name for it is "SSU rRNA". It matches the Rfam family "Eukaryotic small subunit ribosomal RNA", at positions 1300 to 1665 of the family's 1831-position model. Lineage: Eukaryota; Metazoa; Nematoda. The record is from RNAcentral.